This 94-nucleotide transfer RNA is filed under the name Bacillota bacterium. RNAcentral describes it as "tRNA-Ser". It matches the Rfam family "tRNA". Rfam says of the family: Transfer RNA (tRNA) molecules are approximately 80 nucleotides in length. Their secondary structure includes four short double-helical elements and three loops (D, anti-codon, and T loops). Further hydrogen bonds mediate the characteristic L-shaped molecular structure. tRNAs have two regions of fundamental functional importance: the anti-codon, which is responsible for specific mRNA codon recognition, and the 3' end, to which the tRNAs corresponding amino acid is attached (by aminoacyl-tRNA synthetases). tRNAs cope with the degeneracy of the genetic code in two manners: having more than one tRNA (with a specific anti-codon) for a particular amino acid; and 'wobble' base-pairing, i.e. permitting non-standard base-pairing at the 3rd anti-codon position. Lineage: Bacteria; Bacillati; Bacillota. The record is from RNAcentral.
GGAUGGGUGCCCGAGUGGUCGAAGGGGCACGACUGGAAAUCGUGUAGUCGGGGUUAAACCUGACUCGAGGGUUCGAAUCCCUCCCCAUCCGCCA